GACGAACCGUGCGAACGUUAUUCGGAAUCAUUGGGCUUAAAGCGCACGCAGGCGGCGGCACAAGUGGGAUGGGAAAGGCCACCGGCUCAACCGUGGCAGAGCGUCCCAGACUGUGUCGCUUGAGGGGGGUAGGGGCCGGCGGAACUUCCGGUGGAGCGGUGAAAUGUGUUGAGAUCGGAAGGAACGCCAGUGGCGAAAGCGGCCGGCUGGAUCCCAUCUGACGCUCAGGUGCGAAAGCCAGGGGAGCAAACGGG
Molecule: ribosomal RNA, 254 nt
Filed under: uncultured bacterium
Lineage: Bacteria
Also listed under: 1 other name
Description: partial 16S ribosomal RNA
Rfam family: Bacterial small subunit ribosomal RNA
Source: RNAcentral